RNAcentral lists this long non-coding RNA (1054 nucleotides) under Phoenix dactylifera (date palm). Its description in RNAcentral is "long non-coding RNA (PDAC_LNC014950)". Lineage: Eukaryota; Viridiplantae; Streptophyta; Magnoliopsida; Arecales; Arecaceae. The record is from RNAcentral.
AGCGGGGAUCUUUCAUUCUACUGGACUUCGAUUAGGAUCUUGAAUUCUGGUGCAUUUCUUCUCGCUUUUGCUUUAUGAUAUGGUGUUUGAUGUUUUGAUCAAUGUUCUUGUAUUGAUUGAUAUAAGAAUUCGUUGAUUCUUUGAUUAGAUUAGGGCAACUGGACUUGGAGUUCUUGGGUCGGAUCUUUCCACUGUUCUGGAUGAUUCUUGAUGAGUUUUUUGAGAUUUUUUCUCCAGAUUAUGAUGAAUGGGAGAUGUCCUUGUCUAGAAUCCUUGUCGAUGAAUCUUGGUAUAAAGUGCUGCUAGUGUUCUGCGAAGUGAUCAGAACUCAUGUGUCGCGGCUCGGGAUUUACUUUGUCGUUCUUUAUUUGAUUAUCGGAUUUCCUUUGAUGUUUUUAGAAAAAAUGUUCUUGAACUAAUAAUAAACUUUGGAGUGUGAACCCAUUCCUGAGCUGCUGGGUUUACCGGCUUUGUUGCGGUUGUGUAUGAUGUUUAUGCGGGGAUCUUGCAGAGCUGAUGUUUUUAUCUAAGUAGAUGAAAUAUAUGAGCUGAAGUUAGUGAACUAUUUCUUUCUGGAAUCUUGGAUUAUGACAACUCUUUGGUUAAUCGUCAACUGAUCUAUAUUGUCAGCUAGCGGAGAACCAAAGGUAGUUAUACUUGCAGUAAAGAUGAUCUGAUUAGUAAGUAGAAGCAGCUUGGUGUUACAGCACAAUUUAUUAAUGUAUUAAGUUAAUUGCUAUUUUAUUUAUAUAUGUUAGCCUCAGGGUUGAAUAGUUGAAAUUUAACUUGCUUUUCGAUGUAUGCUCAUAUCUAAGGAUGCUGACUCUGUGGCCUUGUGUAGUUGGAGGGGCAGAGAAUAGGAUAUCUAAGUGUAGUAACUACAAGAGUUAAAGAGGAUGUUUAGAAUUUUGUUGCUGAAUGCCAAGAGGCUCACUGGAGAAACUAUUGCUAUAAUUGUCAGAGAUAAUAAGAGGUUGGCUUCAGAAAAGAAGUACCAGUAAUAAGGUGCUAUGAUGCAGUUGAUUGCACAUCAAGUGCUGGGAUCUUUAUUUGU